UCCGAACUACGUGAGACCGUGGAGCCGCCAGCCUUCAUUCAGACUCCGGCAACAGGCGGUGAGGGAGCUUUCCACCGCAAAAUGUUAUCCAAGUACCUCCCCCAGUUUCGCUGACCUUCUCUUAAAGGCCCAUCACUGCUGCCGGAUCUGUUCAUUUAGCAACCUGUUCGUUUCAUGAUUUCUGGCUAGCAGCCUUUACAUUGGACCAGCAGGCCUCGCUAGUACUUUUGUUCCAGUCGUCUGUGUAUUUGAGAUGAAACUGCCCUGAGAUGAGAGUCCUUUUUGGGUUUUAUUAUUGCACAAAAUUUCUUUAAAGAGUGUGGGCCCAUGUACACGUUUCACUACCGCAGGCUUUCUAGUUUUGUUUUUAAGUAGAAAAAGAAGAAAAACUACAACUCAGAAAUUUUCAAUUUUAUUAAUAUUCAAUUUACGUAACAGGCUCAAAUUUUAUUAAUUGAAUUCUGCAUCCAUACGAAUUUAGUCUUAAUUUAUAAAGCAACUUACUUCGAUACUCUUCCUUGAAGUAUGUUAUAAAAUACAACGUUUAAAUAAACAUCACAAAAAUA
This 566-nucleotide long non-coding RNA is filed under the name Homo sapiens (human). RNAcentral describes it as "novel transcript, antisense to GRAMD1C". The record is from RNAcentral. Lineage: Eukaryota; Metazoa; Chordata; Mammalia; Primates; Hominidae.